CGCCUGGGGAGUACGGCCGCAAGGUUAAAACUCAAAUGAAUUGACGGGGGCCCGCACAAGCGGUGGAGCAUGUGGUUUAAUUCGACGCAACGCGAAGAACCUUACCUGGCCUUGACAUGCAGAGAACUUUCCAGAGAUGGAUUGGUGCCUUCGGGAACUCUGACACAGGUGCUGCAUGGCCGUCGUCAGCUCGUGUCGUGAGAUGUUGGGUUAAGUCCCGUAACGAGCGCAACCCCUAUCCCUAGUUGCUAGCAGUUCGGCUGAGAACUCUAGGGAGACUGCCGGUGACAAACCGGAGGAAGGUGGGGAUGACGUCAGGUCAUCAUGGCCCUUACGGCCAGGGCUACACACGUGCUACAAUGGUGCGCACAGAGGGCUGCAAACCCGCGAGGGGGAGCCAAUCUCACAAAACGCAUCGUAGUCCGGAUCGCAGUCUGCAACUCGACUGCGUGAAGUCGGAAUCGCUAGUAAUCGUGAAUCAGAAUGUCACGGUGAAUACGUUCCCGGGCCUUGUACACACCGCCCGUCACACCAUGGGAGUGGAUUGCACCAGAAGUGGUUAGUCUAACCUUCGGGAGGACGAUCACCACGGUGUGGUUCAUGACUGGGGGUGAAGUCGUAACAAGGUAACCGUA
This 635-nucleotide ribosomal RNA is filed under the name uncultured Marinobacter sp. Its description in RNAcentral is "bacterial SSU rRNA". It matches the Rfam family "Bacterial small subunit ribosomal RNA", at positions 870 to 1504 of the family's 1533-position model. Lineage: Bacteria; Pseudomonadati; Pseudomonadota; Gammaproteobacteria; Pseudomonadales; Marinobacteraceae. The record is from RNAcentral.